AUUGAACGCUGGCGGCAUGCUUUACGCAUGCAAGUCGAACGGUAACAGGCCGCCAGGUGCUGACGAGUGGCGAACGGGUGAGUAAUGCAUCGGAACGUGCCCAGUCGUGGGGGAUAACUACUCGAAAGAGUAGCUAAUACCGCAUACGAUCUAUGGAUGAAAGCGGGGGACCGUAAGGCCUCGCGCGAUUGGAGCGGCCGAUGUCAGAUUAGGUAGUUGGUGGGGUAAAGGCUCACCAAGCCAACGAUCUGUAGCUGGUCUGAGAGGACGACCAGCCACACUGGGACUGAGACACGGCCCAGACUCCUACGGGAGGCAGCAGUGGGGAAUUUUGGACAAUGGGCGCAAGCCUGAUCCAGCAAUGCCGCGUGCAGGAAGAAGGCCUUCGGGUUGUAAACUGCUUUUGUACGGAACGAAACGGCUCUGGUUAAUACCCGGGGCUAAUGACGGUACCGUAAGAAUAAGCACCGGCUAACUACGUG
Molecule: ribosomal RNA, 482 nt
Filed under: uncultured bacterium
Lineage: Bacteria
Description: partial 16S ribosomal RNA
Rfam family: Bacterial small subunit ribosomal RNA
Source: RNAcentral